This is a long non-coding RNA of Mus caroli (Ryukyu mouse), 454 nucleotides long. RefSeq lists it as uncharacterized. The record is from RefSeq and is a predicted model, not a curated record. NCBI's taxonomy places the organism in Eukaryota, Metazoa, Chordata, Mammalia, Rodentia, Muridae.
AAGAUGUGUUCAAGCUAGGCUUAGUAUGGCCAUCUUCUGCUGCCUGCAGAUCAAGAUCUAGAACUCUCAGCUCCUCCUUCAGCACCAGGUUUUCAGCAGGAAGCAUGGCCCAGAUUAGAGUUUGGUUUGCUCAGCUCAAAUUAUCCGGAUUAAAGGUGCGGCUUUCUGUCUCAAAGAUCCGGAUUAGAGGAGCCCAAGGAACUAGCGGAUACAGCAACGGAUGGGCGUACAAGUCCAAAAAAUAUCCAUCCACUAAAGAGCGCAUCAACAAAACCGUGGCACAUCCGUAUGAGAGAACAGUAGUAUCCAGUCAUAAAAAGGAGUGAGGAACAGCAGGCGCUUGCUGUAAUGUGGACGAGCCUUUGGAGACGUGAAAGGAACCAGACACAGAAGGACAUCUCAUGAUCCGAUUUCUAGAAAUGCCCACAACAGGCAAAUCAGUAAAACGCUUCCC